ACUCAAAUGAAUUGACGGGGGCCCGCACAAGCGGUGGAUUAUGUGGUUUAAUUCGAUGAUACGCGAGGAACCUUACCAAGACUUAAAUGGGAAAUGACAGAUUUAGAAAUAGAUCCUUCUUCGGACAUUUUUCAAGGUGCUGCAUGGUUGUCGUCAGCUCGUGCCGUGAGGUGUUAGGUUAAGUCCUGCAACGAGCGCAACCCCUGUCACUAGUUGCUAACAUUCAGUUGAGGACUCUAGUGAGACUGCCUACGCAAGUAGAGAGGAAGGUGGGGAUGACGUCAAAUCAUCACGGCCCUUACGUCUUGGGCCACACACGUAAUACAAUGGCCGGUACAGAGGGCAGCUACACAGCGAUGUGAUGCAAAUCUCGAAAGCCGGUCUCAGUUCGGAUUGGAGUCUGCAACUCGACUCUAUGAAGCUGGAAUCGCUAGUAAUCGCGCAUCAGCCAUGGCGCGGUGAAUACGUUCCCGGGCCUUGUACACACCGCCCGU
RNAcentral lists this ribosomal RNA (494 nucleotides) under uncultured bacterium. RNAcentral describes it as "partial 16S ribosomal RNA". It matches the Rfam family "Bacterial small subunit ribosomal RNA", at positions 899 to 1397 of the family's 1533-position model. The record is from RNAcentral.